UUUUCUUCCUUUUUAUAACUUUUAAUUGCUUUUCCUUCCUUAAGCUUCCUGAAAUUUUGUGAUAAACUACGUUUUGGAUCAGAAUCUGUUAGGUAGCUUUCUUAUUUAUAGUAUAAAAUAGUGUUCUGUAAUAAACAAAUAAUACAUUGUUUGUUCAUUCCUAAAAAUAGUAUAUAAAACUAAGUGUAGACCACAGUAAGACAUUCAACUUUUACAUAUAAACUGUUUUCUAUUAAAGAAAUAAUGAAUAAUAGAAAUAUGAUCUUGGUUAAGCAACAACAGGAAUUCUUUAAUGUGUCAGCACAUCACAUAUCAAGUUAUUUUUAUCAGAUUUUCUUCUGUUUAUAAGUUUCUAGAAACUGAAAAAUCAGAAAACCAGCUGGCAAGAGGAAAGCAUUAUACUAGCAGAUGCAAAUAAAUUAAUAGAACAGAAUUGAGGAGUUAAAAGAUAAAUCUACCAGAAGCAACUUCUGAGAGGAGUCAACGGGAAAGAUCUUUAUAGUAUAGAGGUAUCACUUACGCAGUAUCUAUUAGUAACAAACCAUCUGAUAUCUUAUUCCUCUUUCCUUCUGACUCAUUCACUUAUCUAUGAUUUACCAUCUAAUUUUUAAACUUGAUUUGAUAUAAAAGUAAGCAAAGCCAUUGUGCCUGUCUGGUUUGCCUUGUUUACUGUCUCUUUCUGAAAUUAUUAGCACUUGGCUUGUUCUCAGCAGUUACUGAGGUUUGAAUGUGUCACCCAAAAUUCAUGCGUUGAAAACAAUCCCCAACGCAACGAUGUUGAGAGUAUCUUUAGGAGCUGAUUAGAUCAUGAGGGCUCUGUCCUUAUGAAUGGAUUAAUGCCUUUGUCUUGUAAUUGGGUCCCUGAUAAAAGGAUAAGUUUGGACCUUUUCCCUUCCUUCUGUCUUGUUCUUCAUGUUUCAACUUGGACUUCCUAACUUCCAGAACUGUGAGCCAAAUAAAGGUCUGUUUAUAAAUUACCUAGAGUGUGGUAUUCUGUUACAACAGCACAAAAUGAACUAAGACAAUAGUGUUGACCACUCUCACCUAUCCUAAGUUCUGCCUCAGGCUGUCCUGUAGAGCAUUUACUACAUAAGGCAUAUGUAGCACUCACUGCACCAGC
RNAcentral lists this long non-coding RNA (1120 nucleotides) under Heterocephalus glaber (naked mole-rat). Its description in RNAcentral is "lncRNA (ENSHGLG00100048047.1)". The record is from RNAcentral. Lineage: Eukaryota; Metazoa; Chordata; Mammalia; Rodentia; Bathyergidae.